RNAcentral lists this ribosomal RNA (480 nucleotides) under uncultured bacterium. RNAcentral describes it as "bacterial SSU rRNA". It matches the Rfam family "Bacterial small subunit ribosomal RNA", at positions 20 to 518 of the family's 1533-position model. The record is from RNAcentral.
UGGCUCAGGACGAACGCUGGCGGCGUGCUAACACAUGCAAGUCGAGCGAGGAGAUUCCUCGGGAUGAUCCUAGCGGCGGACGGGUGAGUAACACGUGGGCAACCUGCCUCAUAGAGAGGAAUAGCCUUCCGAAAGGGAGAUUAAUACCUCAUAACAUUGCAGUUUCGCAUGGAACAGCAAUUAAAGGAGCAAUCCGCUAUGAGAUGGGCCCGCGGCGCAUUAGCUAGUUGGUGAGGUAACGGCUCACCAAGGCGACGAUGCGUAGCCGACCUGAGAGGGUGAUCGGCCACAUUGGGACUGAGACACGGCCCAGACUCCUACGGGAGGCAGCAGUGGGGAAUAUUGCACAAUGGGGGAAACCCUGAUGCCAGCAACGCCGCGUGAGUGAUGACGGCCUUCGGGUUGUAAAGCUCUGUCUUCAGGGACGAUAAUGACGGUACCUGAGGAGGAAGCCACGGCUAACUACGUGCCAGCCGCGGC